Molecule: ribosomal RNA, 1545 nt
Filed under: Triticum aestivum (bread wheat)
Lineage: Eukaryota; Viridiplantae; Streptophyta; Magnoliopsida; Poales; Poaceae
Description: partial small subunit ribosomal RNA
Source: RNAcentral
AUGGGCGCCCAUACACUGUGCAUGGACACCAACCCAGUCGACACCAGUAACCCAAGCAGCCGCGCGCCUGCAGCCAUGGCCACUUCGCCGUCGAGCAGCUUGCUGCGCGUGCUCCUCCUCGCCGCCGCCGUCGCGGUGGUGGCCGCGAGGCACCACCACCCCGGGUUCGAGAAGAUCUUCGAGGUGCAGGAGGCGGACCGGGUGGAGAUGCUGCCGGGGCAGACGGAGCAGGUGGGCUUCCGGCACUACUCCGGCUACGUCACGGUGAACGAGACCCACGGCCGCGCCCUCUUCUACUGGCUCUUCGAGGCCACCCACGACGUCGCCAAGAAGCCCCUCGUCCUCUGGCUCAACGGAGGGCCUGGAUGCUCGUCCGUGGGGUAUGGAGCUAUGAUGGAGCUUGGCCCCUUCUUGAUCCAGAAGGGAAAGCCCGAGAUUGCCUUGAAUCCCCACUCAUGGAACAAAGAGGCAAACAUGCUGUUCUUGGAGUCCCCUGCCGGCGUGGGCUUCUCCUACACCAACACCACCGCCGAUCUCGGCCAUUUUGGCGACAACCUCACUGCCCAUGACGCAUACUCUUUCCUCGUGAACUGGCUGGACAAGUUCCCUCAGUUCAAGGGCCACGACCUGUACAUCGCCGGCGAGAGCUACGCCGGGCACUACGUCCCCCAGCUCGCCGAGAAGAUCGUCCACAUGAACAAGAAGGCGUCGCGGGCUCACAAGGUCAACCUCAAGGGGAUCCUGAUCGGCAACGCCGCCAUCGACGCCAGCUCCGACGACCGCGGCCUGGUCGACUACGCCUGGGACCACGCGGUGGUCUCGGAUGGGAUCUACACCGCCGUCAAGAACAACUGCAAGUUCCCCGACGACGGCAUGGAGAGCGACGCCUGCGACAACGCAUGGAACGACUUCUUCAACGCCAUGAACGACAUCGACCUUUACAGCCUCUACACCCCCGCCUGCACCAAAUCCAUGGUCAACUCCACCAACUCCUCCCCCCGCCGCCGCUCCAAGCUCGCCGGCACCGGCACGCCGCUGGGGAAGCUGCACCGCGGCGGCAGGCCCUACUACAACGCCUACGACCCCUGCGGGGACUACCACAUCCUCGACUACCUGAACCGCGCCGACGUGCAGAAGGCGCUGCACGCCAACGUCUCCGGCGCAAUCCCGUACCGCUGGGAGCCGUGCAGCGACGCGCUGACCAACUGGACGGACGCGCCGGCGUCGACCCUGCCGGCCAUCGGCAAGCUGGUGAAGGACGGUAUCCGGGUGUGGGUCUUCAGCGGCGACACCGACGACCGCGUGCCGGUGACCUCGACGCGGCUCGCGCUGAAGAAGCUCGGGCUCGCGACGAAGAAGGGGUGGAGGGAGUGGUUCACCAGCGACCAGGUGGGCGGGUACACGGUGGUCUACGACGGGCUCACCUUCGUCACCGUGCGCGGCGCCGGACACAUGGUGCCCAUGAUCACGCCGGUGCAGGCCAGGCAGGUCUUCGCGCACUUCCUCACCGGCGAGGAGCUCUCCGCCAAGGCCAUCGUCGCUUAG